GAUGAACGCUGGCGGCGUGCUUAACACAUGCAAGUCGAACGGUGAACACGGAGCUUGCUCUGUGGGAUCAGUGGCGAACGGGUGAGUAACACGUGAGCAACCUGCCCCUGACUCUGGGAUAAGCGCUGGAAACGACGUCUAAUACUGGAUAUGUGACGUGACCGCAUGGUCUGCGUUUGGAAAGAUUUUUCGGUUGGGGAUGGGCUCGCGGCCUAUCAGCUUGUUGGUGAGGUAAUGGCUCACCAAGGCGUCGACGGGUAGCCGGCCUGAGAGGGUGACCGGCCACACUGGGACUGAGACACGGCCCAGACUCCUACGGGAGGCAGCAGUGGGGAAUAUUGCACAAUGGGCGCAAGCCUGAUGCAGCAACGCCGCGUGAGGGAUGACGGCCUUCGGGUUGUAAACCUCUUUUAGCAGGGAAGAAGCGAAAGUGACGGUACCUGCAGAAAAAGCGCCGGCUAACUACGUG
This 469-nucleotide ribosomal RNA is filed under the name uncultured bacterium. Its description in RNAcentral is "partial 16S ribosomal RNA". It matches the Rfam family "Bacterial small subunit ribosomal RNA", at positions 28 to 507 of the family's 1533-position model. The record is from RNAcentral.